GUUUCUAUAAUUCUGGUAAGUGUCCGUAACACAAUAGUUAUAACACUCCAUACAUUGAUUUCUGGGGGCAGAUUGCUGUAUACCAAGCUCCAGGAAGAUACUUCUUGAAACCGGAAGUGGAUACUGAAAGCUUCCUGAAAACUGCCCCUGAAAGUGGAAGGUACAAAAGUUUCUCCAGGCUGUUUGUUAUUUUGUUUUUGCCUUUUCUCUUUGAAUCCAAAUUGUAUCCGUCUUGGAGAGACAAAUCUGAUCUGCAUUUAGCACGAAUAGUCACAUUGAAGUCUCCCUAAGUACACUUGUAGGAGCAAAGAAACUUUCGACCGGAGAAAAACAUAGAAAACGUUUGUGAUACUAUUAAGCAAAAAUACCAUGACAUUUUCCCUCCAUUUUGAGCUGGAACAAUCUAGGAGCAUAUACAUGUUUUUGAUGUUCCAAAGGUUAAAAUAUAUUUUUGAAUUCGUCCUUUCUUUCGAUUUCCAAUUUAAAUGGUAUGAUGCUAACAUACAGAGAUCAUUUCUGUAUGUAUUUUCUUGGCCAUUCCCCCUUAUGGGGGGUGGGGGAGAGUAUUUCUGAUCAAGAGAUUUUUUUUUUGGUCUUCUAUAUCUGUUUCAUUUUCUUGAGCCGGGGAUCUAUCGGAAACAGCCUCUCUACCUCGUUAGAGGUAGUGGUAUGGACUGCGUACACUCUACCCUCCCCAGACCCCACUAUGUGGGAAUAUACUGGGUUUGUUGUUGUUGUUGUAUACAUGUGUAUAUGUUUUAUAAAUUUGUAUAUAACUAUAUAUAUAGUGUGUGUAUAUAUUGUAGUAUAUUUUAUUUAAAGUAGUAUGUAUUUAUUGAAUGGUACGUAUAUAUGUGUAUAUAUCUUCUAUGAACGUGUGUAUAUAUUGUAGUAUAUUUUUUUUAAGUAGAAUGCAUAUAUUGAAUGGUACGUAUAUAUGUGUAUAUAUCUUCUAUAGACGUAUAUAUUUAACGUAUACAUGUGUAUAUAUUUUAUAGAUUAGUAUAUAACUAUAUAUAUAAUGUGUAUAUAUUGUAGUAUAUUUAUUUAAAGUAGAAUGUAAGUAGAAUGUAUAUAUUGAAAUGGUACGUAUAUAUGUGUAUAUAUCUUCUAUGGACGUAUAUAUUUAACGCAUAUAUGUGUAUAUGUUUUAUAAAUUAGUAUAUAACUAUAUAUAUAGUGUGUGUAUAUAUUGUAGUAUAUUUUAUUUAAAGUAGUAUGUCUAUAUUGAAUGGUACGUAUAUAUGUGUAUACAUCUUCUAUAGACGUAUAUAAUUAAUGUGUACAUGUGUAUACAUAUACACUAUAUAUUUUAUAUGUGUACAUAUAUAUUGAAUGGUGUGUAUAUAUGUGUAUAUUUUCUAAAGUAGUAUAUAUUUAACGUAUACAAGUGUAUAUGUUUUAUAAAUUAGUAUAUAACUAUAUAUAUAGUGUGUGUAUAUAUUGUAGUAUAUUUUAUUUAAAGUAGUAUGUAUAUAUUGAAUGGUACGUAUAUAUGUGUAUAUAUCUUCUAUGGUACAUAUAUAUUACAUGUGUAAUUGUGUAUAUGUAUUAUAUGUAUAUAUCUUUUAAAUAGUAAUGUAGUAUAUACUAUACAUAUAGUAUAUAUCUAUUGUUUAACGUAUUGAAAAUGUAUAUAGAUGGGUAUAUAUAGUGUUUAUUGGAGAAAAAACUUUUAUUUUUUGGUUUUCGACCGGAUUUUUAAUCGAUUUUGAUCGGGUUUAGGUGGGUUGGACUGGGUUGGGUUAAGUGGGCCGAUUCAGGGUUGUUUUAAAAUUUUUUACUGUUGGGCCCAGAAUCGGACCAGCCCGUUUAACUAGGCUCGAAUCCGAACCGGCCCACAAAUCGAAUAAAAUUCACGGGCCGGUUUCGAGUUGACCCGGCUCGGCCCACUUAACACCCUUAGUAUGACAGGAAGUGUCAUUCUCUUGUUGGAUGGUAUGAAGUUGGUGAAAAUGAGUUGUUUGGUCCUGACUUAGUUUACCAGCCAUGGAGAAAGUGAAGAUGAUUCUGGAUAAACCGCUCAAAGUCGCCAAAAGUCCUAUGCAGAUGUGAGGCGUAGGGAGUUAGAGUUUGAGUUUAGUGAUUGGGUGUUCUUAAAGGUGUCUCCUAUGAAGGGGUGAUGCGAUUUAGUAAAAAAGGAAAGCUUAGUCCUCAUUAUGUUGGUCCGUACUUGGUUUUGAAGAGGGUUGGUAGUGUUGUGUAUGAGUUAGAGUUGCCUUCUAGUUGAGCUCUUCAUUCAUCCGGUAUUUCAUUUCUCGAUAUUAAGAAGGUGCGUGGGUGAUCCUUUGUCGAUUGUCCCUUUGGAGGGGUUGGGUAUUUUGGACUCCUUGUCUUAUGAGAAAGUCCAAUUGAAAUCUUGGAUCGACAAGUUCAUUGGUUGCGGACGAAGGAUGUGGUUUCAGUAAAGGUUCUUUAGAGGAACCACAAAGUUGAAGAGGCCACUUGGGAAGCUGAAGAGGACAUGAAGUCCAAGUAUCAGUUCUUGUUUCCCAUUCCGAAAAUCGUGCCCAAGGAAUAUGUUAUUCUUACCAUCUUUAUUUUCUAACUUUGUUAAAAGAAAGGGUGAUUUCCUUGGCAUCUUCGUUUUCUAACUUGGUUAAAGGUAAAAGUAAAGGUCUAUGGAGUCCAAUCGUGCUUAUGUUGCCUUGACCCAUCAUUCGAAGAUGAAUGAUCCAAGUUAGGGAGAAUGUAACGCCCCAAAUUUUUAGCCCUUGAAAAAUUCUUGUGCUUAGGGCUCACUCUCUUGGUCACGACUCGUGGUGAUAAGUUGUGAGAUGUGGUUACGGGUCAUAGGACCCUGGUCAUAACCAAAUUCAAAACUUAGUGGCAAAUUUCUGCUCUGAGUAUAAGUGGCUUACUAUGAGACGUGAGGAUAUGUUACGAGUUGUAGGUUCAAAUCAUAUGAUGUCCAGUGUUUAAUUAAUUUGGGUUUUGCGUAGCUUAUGACUAGACCUUACGAGUCGUAAGAUCUCAUUAUGAGUGGGUUGGCAGAGUCGUAAGGUAGGCAGUUUAUGGGGGCCCUAAUCACUAUUUUGGUUAAGGUAUGGUUACGAGUCAAGGGGUUGACUCAUAACUAAAGGCGACUUUUUUCAUCUUUUAAGUUGAGGACAUUCUAGACAUUUCCCCUCUUUCCCAACUUAAAACCCACGUCUUAUAACUUCUUUAGGACAUUAUUAGCUAUCAUAAACACAUCAAAUAAUCUCUUAGAAUACUCCUAAAUCCUCAAGGGUCAAGAACACUUAGGGUUUUCAUGAAGCUAUUCAGUUGGGACUUUCAAGGAUAAUUUCUCUACGUACUUCUUGGUGAUUAAGGCAUGUUACUCUUCCCUCAUUGUUAUUUUAUUAAAAAGCACAUGUUUUAAGGUAUAACUUUUAUGGUAUUGUUAUGGUUUUGAAACAAAGAUUGGGGGGUUUUGAAUGCUUGUGGUUGAAUGAUGUUUUCCUAUGGUUUAAUUGUGAUUAUUCACGCUUUAAAUAUGGUUUUGAACAUGUGGGUGCAUGGGUAUUGUGAAUGAACUUAUAAAUUGUGAUUUCUUAAACUUGCGACUCUUCAACCGUCCAUGACCCCAACCCUGUAUGGUGAAACUGGUUUUCAGUUAUAAGAAAUAUGGGAAUUGAAUUGUGGCAUUAUGAUGUUGAAUUGAACCUUAUGGAACUAUGUUUUUACAAACUAUGGCUUUAAUGAACUAAAGGAGGUCGAGGUAUUCCUCCAAAUUGAUUUUAUGAACUAAAAUGGGGUGUGGCGUUCCCCCAAGUUAAACAUGAUUGUUAUGGCAUAGAGUUAAACUUGCAAGUGAAGGGUAUGGCGAUACCCCUGUAUGACUUAACAGUUGGUUCAUUGAUCAAUAAUUGAAAUUAUGUGCAGCUUGUUUUAAAUUAGCUUAAUGGGAAUUAUAUAGCAAUGUUGAGAAGGUGUGGGUCUUGCAUGACUUGUACUGGGAACUCGUGUUUACCGACAUAAGUUUUGGUCUUGAUGACCUGUGUGCAUGAGUCACACUUGAUAUAUGUUGGGAUGGAUAAUUGCCUAGAUGGCUUAGCUUUCCCUCAGAUUUUAUCUGGAACGUGUGGCUAACACGCACCGGGGCCCUUUCAACAGGGGGAGCUAUACCCAUAUAGCCCGUGAGUGCCUAUUAUGACGGUUGAGCUACAUAGUCCAGGAUAAAGUUUCCCUUCAUGAUUAAACUUGUUCCCUAUACCGGCAUUAUAUAUAUAUAUAAUUGCAUAUGGUUAUGUACAAUGGUUUGACUUGAUUUUGAAUUGAUGGCAUUACUUUAUCUUUAUCUUUAAGUACAUGCUAAUGUUCACCCCACUAACCGUCUCCGAGCGCUGCAUCCCCACGCGAUGUAGGUGCCGGAGCAAUUUUUACUUUCCCUGCGCAGAGUUAGGUGGAUCAGUCCAGUUCGUUAGUCUUUGAUGGUGAAGUGGUGAGCUUCCAUUUCUCCGAAAGACUUAGUCAUUUCAUCCGUUUCUUUCCAUAAUUUAGAAAUGAAGAGUUCACAUUGUCAUUGUCAGAGUCGGGGGCAUGCCCCAACUUUUUAUUGGUACUCAUUUGGUAGAGGCUUUGUUUGGACUACUGUGGACAUGGGUGGUAUGAUUUGGUUUGGUUAGACUAGUAUAAUGUCUUUAAGAUUGAAUUUUCUUAUCUUGUUAUAUGUUCAGAAUUCAUCCGGCAAGGGGUGUACGGUAUAGACGGUGGUUUGGGUAUUUGGGGGUAGUCUCUAGUCCUUAUUGGACUUGAGAUACCCGUCACGGCCAGGCCCUGGUUCGGGUCAUGACCCCUAAGACUUGUCUCAUAUUAAAUCUUAUCCAUAUUUGUUGCCUUGAAUUGGUAGUUUGAUUAGAUUUUGGCAAAACAACUUUCCACCCCACCCCACCCCCAUUUUAGUUCAUGUAUUUCAUUUUGUUUACAUUACGGGUAUCUAUUUAGUAGCUAUUAACAACCAUAGGAUUUGGAGACUAAUUCCACUCCUUGAGGAUUCGACCCAAACUAACAUUAGGUUAAUAACUUGACAAAAAUCGCCUUACCCAUUAAUCAUGAAGUGGGUUGAGAGUUAUCAAUAGGGUUGCUGCCCUUGUGAAAGAACGUCAACUCAAUGGCUCUCUUUUCUCUCAUCCUAAACUUUUGACCUAAUUCUCACAAUGACCAAUCAACCAAUUCUGGCAACUGGCCUACUGGCUCCAAUGGCUUACCAAAACCUACUAACCCUUUUUCAAUUCCCACCUCUCCCUUCCAAGAACAUUCAUGAGCCUUCCACGUACAAUACUAGCGCUAACAAAAUCCAAAAAGAUGAAGCAUCCCCAAAGAAAUAUUUUGGUGCACUUUUUAACAUUGAAUAUGAUAAUGGAGUACCAAUGGUAACGUGAACUCAAGCUGAGGUCAAUCGCAUGAACAUUAUAGAACAUCUCCAAUAUUCUAUUAUUGGAAAAUUCUCUUUCAAUUGGCCUAGCAUUGAAGAUCUAAGGAAAGCAGUUCCUUCACAGUGUAGUAUCAAAGCUGACUGUCGCAUAGAGUAUUGCGAAAUAAACAUAUUCUUAUUAGAUGUGUCCUAGUAGAAGAUUUCGUUAAUGUGAUGUCUAGAACCUCGUAUUAUAUCAAGGACAAGAAUGACCAAGAUUUUCAGAUGUGUUCUUUGAUUUAUGAUGCAAAGUUCAAGGUGAAUAAGGAAACUACGCAAGCUAUGACAUGGAUUUCAUUCCCUAUUCUACUGCUUACCUUUUCUGUUAAAAACACACUUUUUACAAUAGCUUUAGCGUAGGAAAGUCAUUGCAAUUAGAUAUGGCCACCCAAUAAAACCAGACCUAAUUAUGCUAGGGUCAAGGUUUAGGUCGACCUAUUAUCUACGCUCCUUCAUUCGAUGAAAAUGAAAAUCAAAGAUGAUAAAUCAGGAAGUGAGAGCACAGAAACUAUCAAGAUACAAUAUGAUCUGCUCCUUAAAUUUGUACCAAUUGUAAUUUUCAAGGACAUAACACAAGUAUUGUAGAAUGUUACAACCGGAACUAAGACAACAAAUGCAAGGCAACAAUGAUGAAGGCACACAAUCUCUAGUAGAGAGAUCACCUCAGAAACAAAAGAAGUCCAAAACAUUUCUUCCAAGGAGACAGAUAAGCGGCAAAAUAGUUGGUGAUCUACAGGUUUGGAAAGAAAAAGAAAAUAUCAUACAAGACAUAAAACAUAAUAACAUGAAGGCAAUGUACAACAAAUCUGAUGAUGAUUAGAAAAUUGCAACCAAAAUUAAAUUUGAUACAUUGACAGACUUGAAUCGUGAACAGGGAGAAAGAAAAGAUAAUCAAGACAUAGGAGAACUUUCCGAUAAGCAACAUGUGAAGAUGGAUAGCUUUGGUGAUAAUGAUAAUACACAGGAGCUACAAAAUAAAGAUGCAAGAAAAGAAGUUCAAUAAGUAGACAUUCAACGCACCACGGAAGAAAAGUGACUGCAACAGUAGCAACAAUGGAGGAAAAGGUGAGAGGACAAGGGCUUGGGUGGAAGGAGUUUUUGAAAAAUCAUCCCAACAAAGAUCUAGGAAGUGGAGAGAUAGGGUAGAAUAGGAGGAUGGGAUAGAGGAUGAAGAAGUGGGAUCGUAUAAUAGCUUAUGUGAAGGGAAGAAAAUGGGCACAAAAUCUUUUAAUGCUAUUAUAUUAGCACCAGAUAUUGUUACAACUAUUAAAGAUUUGCAAUCAUAUGAGAAUUUGGUUGAAUAUUAUCCACCAAAAAAAGGAGCAUGCAGCCAUAACAAAUGAUGAAGCCAGGGUUCCACUUGAAAGUAAUGAUAUUCAAACGACAAAAUAUCCUAAUAGGAAGUUGUAAGGAAUUGUUACUCAUUCUUCAAGAGAAGAAGAGGUAGAAAAGGAAAAAUUAAAAAAAAGGAGGACGUAGUUCAAAUAAUUCUCCCAAACAAAAAGGAGGCAAAAGAGGUAGUAAAGAAGGAAAUACAGAACUGCAACAGUCUAAUGUGAGACUGGCCAGAAGUGUUGACACUAAAUUUAAUAGCAUGUGAUGAUUAAAGUCAUUUUUUGAAAUAUCAAAUCAGUGAGAACACAUCAAGCUUUUCAUAGGGUACAAAUGCCUUAUAGGCAUCAUAAGUUUACAUUGAUUGCACUAUUGUAGCCUAUUCAAAGACUAACUCAAAUUAACAAAUACAAAAGGAGACAAGGAAUGAAAAAUAAAGGUAGUAAUUGCAAUGUGAAAAUCUAGUACUUUGUAGAAUAUAAUGUGGACGUUGAAGCGGCUAUGGAUACAGGCCAACAAAUUACUUUAAAGCUUUUGUUACGGGAUUCAAAUAAGCAAUGUUAUACCUCUAUUGUAUAUGCUCAAUGCAUUGAGAGGGCAAGGUUAACUUUGUGGGACAAUAUUUAUCAAUUAUCUAAUAACAUGGAGCUACCAUGGUUUGUGGAAGGAGAUUUCAAUAUUAUUUUAAAUGAAAAGGAGAAACUAGGAGGUUUUUCUGUUCUCCCCCAAGAAGGGGAAGAUUUUGCUGUUUUGCAUCAACUCAUGUGAGCGGCAAGAGGUGAAUUACACAGGUAACCCUUUUACAUGGUGGAAUGGUAGAGUAGGGGAAGAUUUCAUUUUUAAAAGACUUGAUAGAGUUGUCAUCAAUAAACUCUGGCAAUGGUUUGAAGGAAUGGAAAUGGAACACUUAUGCAGAACAAGUUUAGAUCAUGCUUCAUUAUUGAUUACUAUGACGAAUAAAGGUAAAAUUUUCCAUAAACCUUUUAAAUUUUUUGAAGUUUUGUGCAGAUAAUGAAGGCUUUAUGGGGGUAGUGAGACAAAACUAGACUGCAGAUAAUGAGGGCAAUUGUUUUUACCAGUUUAAUCAGAAGGUUCAAAAAAGCACUGACUAUUUGGAGAAAGGAAACAUAUGGUGAUAUUUUCAAGUAUAUACUAAUCAGAGAAGAGACAAAAAAGAUUAAGAAGCAGUUGUUUAAUGAUGUUCUUGAUGCUGAGAAUAGGAUGGUUAUGCACCAGGCUCAAGCUGAACUCAAAAAAUACUGGCACUAUGAGGAAGAAUUUUGGAGGCAAAAAGCCAGUAUUACUUGAUACUCAGGAAGGUGACAAAAAUAUUAGUUCAUUUCGCAAUCUAGUUAUGGGCAAGAGAAAGAGGUUGCAAUCAAAAGUAUUCAGAAUGAAGAAGGGCAGUAGUUACAAGAUGAGGGACAUGAAGCUAAUGAGGCUAUCGAUUUUAUCAGAAGCAAUUCACUCAAGAGGAGGAGGCUAAUGAUUUCUCAAUUAUUAAUCAUGUGCCAGAAUUAAUUAGUAGAGAACACAAUGAGUUGAUGUGCAGGAAGCCAGAGUUGGAGGAAGAAAAGAAGGCUGUUUUUAAUCUACAGGGUUUCGUACUAGUCGUCCAGAUGGACUAAUAGGUUUAUUCUAUCAAAAAUAUUGGGAUAUAGUGGGAGGAGAUGUAUUUACGCUAGUUGAAGCUUUUUUUUUUUUGCAGGAAACCUAUUACUCAUACAAAUCUGGUGCUAUUACCAAAAAAGACUACCAUCCAGAUAUUUGCAGAUUUGAUACCUAUAAGCUCGAGUAAUUUUAUUGAUAAAGUUAUUUCUAGAGUGGUACAUGAUAGAUUAGAAGAUGUACUGUCUCUAAUUAUUUCUCCCAAUCAAUCAGAUUUUGUGAAAGAAAAAGCAUAAUAGAGAAUGUACUACUGACACAGGAAAUCAUCACUGACCUAAGGAAGAGAGGAAAGCCAAAUAAUAUUGUAAUAAAGCUGGAUAUGUCCAAAGCUUAUGAUAGAGUUUCUUGGCUGUACCUUUGUAAAGUUUUGAGAAAAUUGGGAUUUGAUGAAAUUUUUAUUGACAUGAUUUGGAGAUUACUAGCUAACAACUGGUAUUCUAUUUUGUUGAACGAGCAAACUCAAGGAUUUUUUCAUUCAACCAAGGGAGUGAGGCAAGGAGAUCCUUUAUCUCUAGUCCUUUUUAUCAUUUUAGCUGAAGUUUUGUCUAGAGCUUUGAAUUCUCUGACGGAGUCAGCGAAUUACCAAGGAUUUGAUAUGCUUAAGUGGAGUACCAAAAUUAAUCACCUAACUUAUGCAGAUGACACAAUUAUUUUCACCUCUGCAGAAACAAGUUUGUUAGGAAUGAUUAAAGAGGUUUUACAUGGGUAUGAGAAGGUGUCCGGUUAGUUAAUAAAUACAGAGAAAUCUUCUUUCUAUAUGUAUUAGAAGAUUCAAGAGGUUUUGCUUUAGGAGGUAGCUGACAUCACUGAUUUAAAAGAGGUGUUUUUCCUUUUAACUAUCUGGGUUGUCCCAUUUUUCAUGCUAGAAAGAAGAAAGUAUAUUAUAAUGAUCUAAUCAAGAAUAUCAAAGAUAGGCUACAAAAUUGGAACAAAAAACUUUUGUCAUUUGAAGGUAAAGCUGUAUUGAUUAACAAUGUGCUUCAGAGUAUGCCAAUUUAUCUGUUGUCUGUAAUGGCACCUACUAAGUACACUUUAAAUGAAAUUCAUAAAAUCUUUUCUAGAUUUUACUGGAUCAACAAGGAAGAAGGGAGAAGUAAGCACUGGUCAACAUGGUUGAAAAUCUACCUUUCUAAACAGGAAGGGGGCAUAGGCUUCAGGUCUUUAUUUGAUGUUUUCAAAUUCUUUUUUGCCAAAUUUUGGUGAAAGUUCAGAACUACAACAAUAAUGUGAAAAAAUUUCAUGUGAAAUAAAAUAUUGUAAAAAGUACUAACAAUGGUGAACUGGAAAGGGGGGUCAUAACUUUCGAAGAAAAUGUUGGAGGUUAGGGAUGAAAUAGAAUCCAAUAUUUGGUGGGAACCUAGAAAUGGUAAUGCAAACUUUUGGUUUGACAACUGGACUAGGUUGGAUCCUCUGAUUCAUCUCAUGCCCUCAAAUCAAAGAGACUUGAGAUUUGAAGAGGUAAAUCAUUUCAUGAAGGAAGUUUUGUGGAAUAAAAAUUUGCUCAGGCAUAACUUACCAUCUUAUCUGGUUGAGCAUAUCAUGACAGAAUUGCCCAAGAAAGGGAAAAAUAUAGCUUGUGAUAAACCAUGGUUUCUAGGCAUAAGCAAUGGAAAUUUUACUGUUAAGUCCUCUUGGGAAAUAUGUAGGCAAAGGGAAGAGACACAGGGGUUUUUUCACAAGAUAUGGACAGUUGGAUUACCUUAUAAAAUCUCUUUUUUCUUAUGGAGGGUGUGGAAGAAGAAACUACUUGUUGAUGAUGUUCUAGCUUCGAUGAUGAUCAAUAUUGUCUCAAGAUAUAGGUGUUAUGAACAACCUCAUCAGGAAAACCUAAUUCACUUUUUCCUGAAUGGAGAUUUUGCUAGAGAUAUUUGGAAUGUUUUACAGGGAUAGCAGGAGCACAAGGUUCGUUCAUACAAGUAAAUCAGGCAAUCACAAUGGUGGAAAAAAGAUUGUGCACCUAACUUGAAAUCGAUAUAUCAAGCUGCACAGCAGUGAUAUUAUGGCAAUUAUGGAAGAGGAGGAGCAAGUUAGUUCAUGGGGGAACAAUGUCAAGGAAUAAAGUGAUUUAUGACAUCAAUCAAAAUUUGUAUCUUCUUCCGAAGAUCAAAUUCCUUAGAUCACAGAUAUUCCUAAUAAUUGGGCUAUUUAAUUCUAAAACUGGAGACAUAUAUGCAACAAAUACAAUGCAAGUUUAUAAACUAGCAGUUGUCCUUAAAGGGUACUUUUAAAUAUAACACUGAUGCUUCAUCUAAAGAUAACCCUGGACCUAGUUCAAUAGCAUUUUGCAUUAGAGAUUGGAGUGGCGACCUCAAUUAUGCAAGGAUAACAAGAAUAUCCAACACUACUAGCCUCCAAGCAGAAGCUAUGGCUAUUCUAGAUGCUAUUGAGUAUUAUGUGACACACCAUAUGAUGCCUCUGAUUAUUGAAACAGACUCCCUGAUAAUGAAAAAAGUGAUAGAAGGGGAAUGAGGUAGUCCUUGGUCUAUCAGUAUGAUUGCACAAAUAAUUAUGGAGUGGAAGAAAAAGGGCGAAGUGUGUGUCUCACAUGUACUAAGGGAAGGAAAUCAACUAGCCGACUAUUUAACUAACAAGUUUGAUGAUUUUGCAAGUACUAUUCACUUUCAUAAUGAAGAAGAUCUACCAAUAGAAACAAGAAGAAUUAUCCAUGCAGACAAAAUUCAGAUGCCUAAUUUGUGUUUGCAAGAAAGAGAACCAGACUAGACCAUUUCACAAUCAAAGUAAAAAGGCAACAGUAGAGCAAACAACAUACAUCUAGAAAUAAAGUUCACAAUUUCAAUGGUAAAAACAUCAAGCCAAUUGAUACAGUUUACAACGAUUCAAGAUGUCAUAAGUUUAUCGCAAAUUCAACACAUCCAAAAAUAUAAAGGUAUAAUUGAGUAGAUUUUCUAGCGGUGGCAUCAAUCUUCUUGAAGGUUCAACCCACUGAAGGAAAAGUUGAUUUUACCAAAAGAUUUUCUAAUUUGUGUUUCUAUAGUUCUAUUCCUAGAAAAUCUUGAUUACGGAUCUUACCUGAGGGCGUAAUAGCUCAUGCUAUCCUCGAACAAGUUGAAGAAGUCUUCAUUUGGGACAGAUCUCACAGCAUCUGGUGAGAGCAUUGGGGUGUCUUGAGUGGAAUCUACCAAAACUUGUCAACAGUCUAUAACUGAGUUUAGUAGCUCAAAAGAAUCUAAAUGGUCAGAGGUUAAUGUAGAUAGACUCACAUUAGUGCACUUCAUCACCUUUAUUUUGAUGUCUGAUGUCUCAAGUGACAGAUGUUAAUUUCGUUGAUGGUGAAAGAGAGUCUCGGGGUUUUGGACUUAAAAGUUUUAAAAUGGGAGUACUUGAGUGGAG
Molecule: long non-coding RNA, 11749 nt
Filed under: Capsicum annuum
Lineage: Eukaryota; Viridiplantae; Streptophyta; Magnoliopsida; Solanales; Solanaceae
Description: long non-coding RNA (CANN_LNC006609)
Source: RNAcentral